GAGGACUGGAAACAUUGGUGGCUUUGGC
RNAcentral lists this non-coding RNA (28 nucleotides) under Homo sapiens (human). The record is from RNAcentral. Lineage: Eukaryota; Metazoa; Chordata; Mammalia; Primates; Hominidae.